Molecule: long non-coding RNA, 746 nt
Organism: Oncorhynchus keta (chum salmon)
Lineage: Eukaryota; Metazoa; Chordata; Actinopteri; Salmoniformes; Salmonidae
Exons: 3
Source: RefSeq, a predicted model, not a curated record
AUGUCACUACAGGUCAUUUUAGAACAGGUUGAGUGUUAUACUACUAAUGGAACUACAGGUCAGUUUAUAACAGGUUGAGUGUUAUACUACUAAUGGAACUACAGGUCAGUUUAUAACAGGUUGAGUGUUAUACUACUAAUGUAACUACAGGUCAGUUUAGAACAGGUUGAGUGUUAUACUACUAAUGUAACUACAGGUCAGUUUAUAACAGGUUGAGUGUUAUACUACUAAUGUAACUACAGGUCAGUUUAUAACAGGUUGAGUGUUAUACUACUAAUGGAACUACAGGUCAGUUUAGAACAGGUUGAGUGUUAUACUACUAAUGGAACUACAGGUCAGUUUAUAACAGGUUGAGUGUUAUACUACUAAUGGAACUACAGGUCAGUUUAUAACAGGUUGAGUGUUAUACUACUAAUGUAACUACAGGUCAGUUUAUAACAGGUUGAGUGUUAUACUACUAAUGGAACUACAGGUCAGUUUAGAACAGGUUGAGUGUUAUACUACUAAUGUAACUACAGGUCAGUUUAUAACAGGUUGAGUGUUAUACUACUAAUGUAACUACAGGUCAGUUUAUAACAGGUUGAGUGUUAUACUACUAAUGGAACUACAGGUCAGUUUAUAACAGGUUGAGUGUUAUACUACUAAUGUAACUACAGGUCAGUUUAGAACAGGUUGAGUGUUAUACUACUGGUUCUCAGUCCAAAUGUCGGUAGGUCUGCAGGACAACAGCUCUCUCAGGCCAGAGC